Molecule: small nuclear RNA, 106 nt
Filed under: Mus spretus (western wild mouse)
Lineage: Eukaryota; Metazoa; Chordata; Mammalia; Rodentia; Muridae
Source: RNAcentral
GUGCUCCCUUCAGCAGCACAUAUACUAAAAUUGGAAUGAUACAGAGAAGAUUAGCAUGGCCCAGUGCAAGAAUGACAUGCAAAUUCAUGAAGCAUUCCAUAUUUUU